This 1146-nucleotide long non-coding RNA is filed under the name Serinus canaria (Common canary). RNAcentral describes it as "lncRNA (ENSSCAG00000011675.1)". The record is from RNAcentral. Lineage: Eukaryota; Metazoa; Chordata; Aves; Passeriformes; Fringillidae.
CUUGCUGUUUCAAGCUGCUCAAGGUGAAACUUCAAGAUUUACAGAUGUGGAAUUAUGUGUAGAGGUAUCUGAAAGAUAUCAAUUGCUAUAAUUCUGCUUUCUUGGGCAGGGAGGAAAAAAUAACUAUAAUCCAAUAAAAUGUUUUUCAUUCUGCUUCCUUUUCUCUGAAGGAACAAAAUACAAAAACCUUUUCAACGAAACACAUCAUCACCUUCCAUCACAAUAGAACGAAAGAAUCUCUACAUUGAGAGAUUUGCAACCGUUUGGAUAGCAGUGAAUUAUGGCCAUGACACCUGUGCAAAAGGAAAGAACAUCUCAGUUUUACCAAGCAAAGCAGGAAAGUGCUUGUCACCAUCUAACAUAAAUGCUUAUCAGAUCACAAACCAAUUGAUAAUAAAGUGGGACCUGCCCACAGCUGAUACACCAUACGAGCUGAGAUACAGAGAGGCACUCACAGAAUCUGCUCCGUGGACCCUGGUGCCUGUAGGAAGCAAUGUUUUCAAUGUCACCAUUUCAAAUUUAAAUGCUAUGUCUUCAUACAUUGUUCAGCUCAGAUGCAUAACCAAGGAUGGUCUCAACUGUGUUUGCAUUUGGGGCAAAGAGGUUUUGGUCCCUCACAAACUCAUGAACAAGCCAAGAAUAUCAUAUAAUGUAACUACACAAGUGUCUCCAGGAAGAAGAAGUGUUCUUCUGAAGUGGGAGGUAGCACAAAGCGAGAAUGUCCUUGGAUAUUAUGUUAAUGUGGAAAGAAUACCCAAUAGCUGCAGCCAACAACCAAAUCACAUCUCUCUCAAAGACAGAAUAAUUCUUGUUAAUCUCUCCAUGGCUUACUAUAGACUUAAUAUUUCUGCCUACAAUGAAGCAGGAGAAUCUCCAGGAGCUAUCUACAUUGUCCCAGAAUUCUCUGUAACAGACUUGCCUGGUCAAAUCCAUGUCAAAAGCCAGGGAGCAAAUGCAGUUGUCACAUGGACUCCAGAAUACAAACCAAAAUGUUUUGUGGUUGACUGGGGCACUAGUAAAGAGAAUAUGCAGAUGAAAAUAAUAACUACUGCUACUGAAAAUUUCACAUUAGACAAUUUUCAGCCAUAUAAGUUGUACAAAAUAAUGGUGCAUACAUCUGAUGUGUGUCAGUGUCAAAGUUUCAUA